GUGAAAAAUAGUCAUAUUGGGGACUAGAGUGGCUCUGUGAUUCAAGGAUCAUGGAUACCACUCCGCGAGACUAAAGGGAGUG
Molecule: ribosomal RNA, 82 nt
Filed under: Artemia franciscana
Lineage: Eukaryota; Metazoa; Arthropoda; Branchiopoda; Anostraca; Artemiidae
Description: partial 5.8S ribosomal RNA
Source: RNAcentral